CCUAUUCUUUUGACAGAAACAAAUCCCUUCUAUUCUUUUGAAGGAAACAAAUUAUUUCUCGCUGCUUUUGCUAAUAGAUUUUGUUACUCGCAUCCUUGGAGGUUGAUUGGUCUAAACUCCCAUAGAAUUUCUGAAUCUGCUAAUAUCAUUUGUAUUUUGUUGAUGGAAAUGUGGACUUGGGGAUAUGCAGAAGCUGGAAGGGUUGGUUCUAUCCAGAAAGUUGCAGACAGGCUUCGUUGUUACACUUGGUCACGACUUCUUCAUCUCACUUCAAAAUUGCAAAAGCAUAGUUAUUGUGUUAACAUUGAGAAGAAAAAUCAAAUGGAUUUUUAGCUGUUCCUCCUCUUCUCUGUGACUAAGAUCUAGAAGGAGGUUUAUGCGGUGGUGGUUGUUGCAAGAAGGCCCUCGCGCUGAUAAUUUAUACGGUGGUGGUUGAUUAAACUGAUGUGACUGUGUCUACCCUCUCUAUAUUGUGUGUUGAUCGAGAUUGCUGAAGAAAAAAAAAGGCUUGCUGCAGCUUUAGAAACACAAAUUGCAGAUGGCCUUAAUAAUUAUUGUCCUAAAUUAUUAAUCCUUUUCUAGAGAUUUUAGGAUGCUCUAAGGAGGAUUGGAUACUUGAUGUUACUGGUUAUGUUGAGAAAGACACUGUCACGGAAACUGAAAAAAAUGAAAAAAAUCAGCAAGGCUAUGGAUGCGACGCUAGAAGAUUUAGAGGGGAAUAGAAUUCAUUGCACAUUAUCGGAUGACUAUGCCGUGAAAAUGUAAAAGUUUUUGGAUAAUCAUGAUUAUCACUUCCUGUGAUUGUUUUGUAAAACUUCAGAGCAAGUUCCUGGUGGUUUUCUGCAUAAUUCAGAGCUGGUUUUCAGUUGGUGGACUGAUAUUGUGCAACAGAGGUGUUUCGGUACUGCAGUUGUUUCUUCCGCCCCUUGACACCCUCUACGCAUAAAGUAUUUAAAAGCAACAAUGUCCAUCUUCUUUGGUACUACCCAUGGAGGGGUACUUCCUCACUCCCUCUGGAUAGUUACAAGUUAACCAAUGUGUGAUUUUCGGAUAAGCGCAAGAUCAAGUACUAUAUCAGUGAGGUAUGUGUUUUAGAGAUGGCUAUUUUGGUUUGUAAUGCCUGAACUUUGAUUUUGUUAUUAAUGGUCAUAGCAUGUUCAACUGGUUUUGUGUUGCUAUCUUUGGAAUGUAAAUCAUAUAAUAUAAUGUUUUUAAAAAUCAAUUUUGCAUGAAUGUAUCUAAAGACAAAUCACUUAUAGUGAAAAUCACUUUUAACCAAAAUUAAUUCUUCCCACCGUACAACCAAACACGCACGCAAAUAGGUUCUG
Long non-coding RNA from Medicago truncatula (barrel medic), 1328 nucleotides. RefSeq lists it as uncharacterized. The transcript has 9 exons. The record is from RefSeq and is a predicted model, not a curated record. NCBI's taxonomy places the organism in Eukaryota, Viridiplantae, Streptophyta, Magnoliopsida, Fabales, Fabaceae.